This 475-nucleotide ribosomal RNA is filed under the name uncultured bacterium. Its description in RNAcentral is "bacterial SSU rRNA". It matches the Rfam family "Bacterial small subunit ribosomal RNA", at positions 917 to 1382 of the family's 1533-position model. The record is from RNAcentral.
GGACCCGCACAAACGGUGGAGCAUGUGGUUUAAUACGACGAUACGCGUGGAACCUUACCCAGACUUGACAUGUAUUAGAAAUCCUUGUGAAAGCUUGGACCCCUAGCAAUAGGCUGAUACACAGGUGUUGCAUGGCUGUCGUCAGCUCGUGUCGUGAGAUGUUGGGUUAAGUCCCGCAACGAGCGCAACCCUUAUCCUUAGUUGCUACCUACGUCUUCGGAUGUAGCGCACUCUAAAGAGACUGCCGCUGAUAAAGCGGAGGAAGGUGGGGAUGACGUCAAGUCAGUACGGCCCUUACGUCUGGGGCUACACACGUGCUACAAUGGCCGGUACAAAAGGUUGCAAUACCGCGAGGUGGAGCUAAUCCCCAAAACCGGCCCCAGUUCAGAUUGCAGGCUGCAACUCGUCUGCAUGAAGCCGGAAUCGUUAGUAAUCACGUAUCAGCCACGACGUGGUGAAUACGUUCCCGGGUCUU